GCUUUCGUGGUGUAGUGGCCAGCACGCUCGACGCGUAUUCGAGAGGUCCGUGGUUCGAGUCCCGGUGAGGGCA
RNAcentral lists this transfer RNA (73 nucleotides) under Stegodyphus mimosarum. It matches the Rfam family "tRNA". From Rfam's summary of the family: Transfer RNA (tRNA) molecules are approximately 80 nucleotides in length. Their secondary structure includes four short double-helical elements and three loops (D, anti-codon, and T loops). Further hydrogen bonds mediate the characteristic L-shaped molecular structure. tRNAs have two regions of fundamental functional importance: the anti-codon, which is responsible for specific mRNA codon recognition, and the 3' end, to which the tRNAs corresponding amino acid is attached (by aminoacyl-tRNA synthetases). tRNAs cope with the degeneracy of the genetic code in two manners: having more than one tRNA (with a specific anti-codon) for a particular amino acid; and 'wobble' base-pairing, i.e. permitting non-standard base-pairing at the 3rd anti-codon position. Lineage: Eukaryota; Metazoa; Arthropoda; Arachnida; Araneae; Eresidae. The record is from Rfam by way of RNAcentral.